GUGGCACAAGCAAAUAAUUAAAACUUUUAACAACGGAUCUCUUGGUUCUGGCAUCGAUGAAGAACGCAGCGAAAUGCGAU
RNAcentral lists this ribosomal RNA (80 nucleotides) under Colletotrichum acutatum. RNAcentral's name for it is "5.8S ribosomal RNA". The stretch from base 22 to 80 matches the Rfam family "5.8S ribosomal RNA", at positions 1 to 59 of the family's 154-position model. From Rfam's summary of the family: 5.8S ribosomal RNA (5.8S rRNA) is a component of the large subunit of the eukaryotic ribosome. It is transcribed by RNA polymerase I as part of the 45S precursor that also contains 18S and 28S rRNA. Functionally, it is thought that 5.8S rRNA may be involved in ribosome translocation. Lineage: Eukaryota; Fungi; Ascomycota; Sordariomycetes; Glomerellales; Glomerellaceae. The record is from RNAcentral.